This 804-nucleotide ribosomal RNA is filed under the name uncultured phototrophic eukaryote. RNAcentral describes it as "bacterial SSU rRNA". It matches the Rfam family "Bacterial small subunit ribosomal RNA", at positions 496 to 1308 of the family's 1533-position model. The record is from RNAcentral.
GCUAACUCCGUGCCAGCAGCCGCGGUAAUACGGGGGAUGCAGCGUUAUCCGGAAUCAUUGGGCGUAAAGCGUCUGUAGGUUGUUGGUUAAGUCUAUGGUCAAAUUCCGAAGCUCAACUUCGGGCCGGCACUAGAAACUAAUCAACUUGAGUACGUUAGAGGCAGGGGGAAUUCCCAGUGUAGCGGUGAAAUGCGUAGAUAUUGGGAGGAACAUCAAUGGCGAAGGCACCCUGCUAGGCCGAUACUGACACUGAAAAACGAAAGCUAGGGGAGCAAAUGGGAUUAGAUACCCCAGUAGUCCUAGCCGUAAACGAUGGAUACUAGAUGUUGUGCGUAGUGUACAGUGUCCUAGCUAACGCGUUAAGUAUCCCGCCUGGGGAGUACGCUCGCAAGGGUGAAACUCAAAGGAAUUGACGGGGGCCCGCACAAGCGGUGGAGCAUGUGGUUUAAUUCGAUGCAACGCGAAGAACCUUACCAGGGCUUGACAUACUACAAAUUUCUUUGAAAAAAGGAAGUGCCUUCGGGAAUGUAGAUACAGGUGGUGCAUGGCUGUCGUCAGCUCGUGUCGUGAGAUGUUGGGUUAAGUCCCGCAACGAGCGCAACCCUUAUUUUUAGUUACUAAUUAAUUAGGUUUUCUAGAAAGACUGCCGGUGACAAACCGGAGGAAGGUGAGGAUGACGUCAAGUCAGCAUGCCCCUUAUGUCCUGGGCUACACCAUCGUGCUACAAUGGUUAAAACAAAGGGUCGCGAGCUCGUGAGAGUCAGCUAAUCCCAUAAAUUUAGCCUAAGUYCWGAUUGUAGCUGC